This 478-nucleotide ribosomal RNA is filed under the name uncultured bacterium. Its description in RNAcentral is "partial 16S ribosomal RNA". It matches the Rfam family "Bacterial small subunit ribosomal RNA", at positions 28 to 523 of the family's 1533-position model. The record is from RNAcentral.
GACGAACGCUGGCGGCGUGCUUAACACAUGCAAGUCGAACGGUAAGGCCCUUCGGGGUACACGAGUGGCGAACGGGUGAGUAACACGUGGGUGAUCUGCCCUGCACUUCGGGAUAAGCCUGGGAAACUGGGUCUAAUACCGGAUCGGACCACUGCAUGCAGGGGUGGGGGUGGAAAGCUCUUGCGGUGUGGGAUGGGGCCGGGGCGUAUCAGCUUGUUGGUGGGGUGUUGGCCUUCCAAGGCGACGACGGGGAGGCGGCCUGAGAGGGUGACCGGCCACACUGGGACUGAGAUACGGCCCAGACUCCUACGGGAGGCAGCAGUGGGGAAUAUUGCACAAUGGUCGCAAGCCUGAUGCAGCGACGCCGCGUGAGGGAUGACGGCCUUCGGGUUGUAAACCUCUUUCAGCACCGACGAAGCGCAAGUGACGGUAGGUGCAGAAGAAGGACCGGCCAACUACGUGCCAGCCGCCGCCGUAA